RNAcentral lists this ribosomal RNA (475 nucleotides) under uncultured bacterium. Its description in RNAcentral is "bacterial SSU rRNA". It matches the Rfam family "Bacterial small subunit ribosomal RNA", at positions 8 to 475 of the family's 1533-position model. The record is from RNAcentral.
AGAGUUUGAUCAUGGCUCAGAUUGAACGCUGGCGGCAUGCUUAAUACAUGCAAGUCGAACGGUAACAGAUUCUUCGGAAUGCUGACGAGUGGCGGACGGGUGAGUAAUACAUAGGAAUCUGCCCAUGUAGUGGGGGACAACUUGGGGAAACUCAAGCUAAUACCGCAUAAUUCCUACGGGAUAAAGAGGGCCACUGCUUGCAAGCUCUUGCUACUGGAUGAGCCUAUGUCGGAUUAGUUAGUUGGUAAGGUAAUGGCUUACCAAGACAGCGAUCCGUAGCUGGUUUGAGAGGAUGAUCAGCCACACUGGGACUGAGACACGGCCCAGACUCCUACGGGAGGCAGCAGUAGAGAGUAUUGGACAAUGGGCGCAAGCCUGAUCCAGCAAUGCCGCGUGUGUGAAGAAGGCCUGCGGGUUGUAAAGCACUUUCAAUUGGGAAGAAAGAUUAUGAGUUAAUACCUUAUAAUAUUGACGU